GCUUAACACAUGCAAGUCGAGCGGGCGUAGCAAUACGUCAGCGGCAGACGGGUGAGUAACGCGUGGGAACAUACCUUUUGGUUCGGAACAACACAGGGAAACUUGUGCUAAUACCGGAUAAGCCCUUACGGGGAAAGAUUUAUCGCCGAAAGAUUGGCCCGCGUCUGAUUAGCUAGUUGGUGAGGUAAUGGCUCACCAAGGCGACGAUCAGUAGCUGGUCUGAGAGGAUGAUCAGCCACAUUGGGACUGAGACACGGCCCAAACUCCUACGGGAGGCAGCAGUGGGGAAUAUUGGACAAUGGGCGCAAGCCUGAUCCAGCCAUGCCGCGUGAGUGAUGAAGGCCCUAGGGUUGUAAAGCUCUUUUGUGCGGGAAGAUAAUGACGGUACCGCAAGAAUAAGCCCCGGCUAACUUCGUGCCAGCAGCCGCGGUAAUAC
This 436-nucleotide ribosomal RNA is filed under the name uncultured Alphaproteobacteria bacterium. RNAcentral describes it as "bacterial SSU rRNA". It matches the Rfam family "Bacterial small subunit ribosomal RNA", at positions 46 to 526 of the family's 1533-position model. Lineage: Bacteria; Pseudomonadati; Pseudomonadota; Alphaproteobacteria. The record is from RNAcentral.